RNAcentral lists this unclassified non-coding RNA (270 nucleotides) under uncultured fungus. RNAcentral describes it as "partial contains 5.8S ribosomal RNA, internal transcribed spacer 2, and large subunit ribosomal RNA". The stretch from base 1 to 52 matches the Rfam family "5.8S ribosomal RNA", at positions 103 to 154 of the family's 154-position model. The record is from RNAcentral. Lineage: Eukaryota; Fungi.
AACGCACAUUGCGCCUAUUGGUAUUCCAUUAGGCAUGUCUGUUUGAGCGUCAUUACAACCCCUCAGCGCAAGCUGGUUUUGAGCCGGUCAACCGUAAAAAAGCUGACCGGUUUUAAAGUUGUAAGCUCUGCUGGCUGCUACGCCCCAACCAAAAACAUAGUAAACUUUUGCUUGUUUGCAGGUGAGGCUUGCAGGUUAACCGGCCUGAACAAAACCUACAAAUUUCUAAGGUUUGACCUCAGAUCAGACAAGGAUACCCGCUGAACUUAA